GUGCUCGUUUCAGCAGCACAUAUACUAAAACUGGAACGAUACAGAGAAGAUUAGCAUGGCCCCUGCACAAGGAUGACAAGCAAAUUCGUGAAGCGUUCCACUUUUUG
This 107-nucleotide small nuclear RNA is filed under the name Balaenoptera musculus (blue whale). Lineage: Eukaryota; Metazoa; Chordata; Mammalia; Artiodactyla; Balaenopteridae. The record is from RNAcentral.